AAGGAAUAUUGGUCAAUGGACGCAAGUCUGAACCAGCCAUGCCGCGUGAAGGAUGAAGGUCCUCUGGAUUGUAAACUUCUUUUAUCUUGGACGAAAACGGGAUUUUUAUCUCAAUUGACGGUACCAGAGGAAUAAGCACCGGCUAACUCCGUGCCAGCAGCCGCGGUAAGACAGAGGGUGCAAACGUUGUUCGGAAUUACUGGGCGUAAAGCGCGUGUAGGCGGUCGUGCAAGUCGGGUGUGAAAGCCCAGGGCUCAACCCUGGAAGUGCAUUCGAUACUGCAUGGCUAGAGUCCCGGAGAGGAUGGUGGAACUCUAGGUGUAGAGGUGAAAUUCGUAGAUAUCGAGAAGAACACCGGUGGCGAAGGCGGCCAUCUGGACGGUGACUGACGCUGAGACGCGAAAGCGUGGGGAGCAAACA
RNAcentral lists this ribosomal RNA (420 nucleotides) under uncultured bacterium. RNAcentral's name for it is "bacterial SSU rRNA". It matches the Rfam family "Bacterial small subunit ribosomal RNA", at positions 356 to 774 of the family's 1533-position model. The record is from RNAcentral.